Molecule: ribosomal RNA, 253 nt
Filed under: uncultured bacterium
Lineage: Bacteria
Description: partial 16S ribosomal RNA
Rfam family: Bacterial small subunit ribosomal RNA
Source: RNAcentral
UACGAAGGGUGCAAGCGUUACUCGGAAUUACUGGGCGUAAAGCGUGCGUAGGUGGUUCGUUAAGUCUGAUGUGAAAGCCCUGGGCUCAACCUGGGAAUGGCAUUGGAUACUGGCGACCUAGAGUGCGGUAGAGGGGUGUGGAAUUCCCGGUGUAGCAGUGAAAUGCGUAGAUAUCGAGAGGAACACCAGUGGCGAAGGCGGGUCUCUGGACAACACCUGACGCUGAGGCACGAAAGCCGGGGGAGCAAACGGG